Molecule: ribosomal RNA, 27 nt
Filed under: Russula drimeia
Lineage: Eukaryota; Fungi; Basidiomycota; Agaricomycetes; Russulales; Russulaceae
Also listed under: 1 other name
Description: partial 18S ribosomal RNA
Source: RNAcentral
GUACGUGAACCUGCGGAAGGAUCAUUA